Molecule: transfer RNA, 77 nt
Filed under: Halanaerobium congolense
Lineage: Bacteria; Bacillati; Bacillota; Clostridia; Halanaerobiales; Halanaerobiaceae
Also listed under: 6 other names
Description: tRNA_Arg_CCT
Rfam family: tRNA
About the family: Transfer RNA (tRNA) molecules are approximately 80 nucleotides in length.
Source: RNAcentral
GGGGUUAUAGCUCAGCUGGAUAGAGCAACAGAUUCCUAAUCUGUAGGCCGGCGGUUCAAAUCCGCCUAACCCCACCA